This 630-nucleotide ribosomal RNA is filed under the name Triticum aestivum (bread wheat). RNAcentral's name for it is "partial small subunit ribosomal RNA". The record is from RNAcentral. Lineage: Eukaryota; Viridiplantae; Streptophyta; Magnoliopsida; Poales; Poaceae.
CACCGGCGCAAAGCCCCCGCCCUCGUGUUCAAGCUCGACUUCGCCAAGGCGUUCGACUCGGUCGAUUGGGGGGCACUCCGGCGCAUUCUCGAGGUACGCGGCUUCCCCGCCAGAUGGUGCGCUUGGAUGGACUUGAUCUUUCGGUCCUCCCGGUCGGCGGUUCUCCUCAACGUUGUGCCGGGGAAGUGGUUCACGGUGCGCCGCGGGCUGCGCCAAGGAGACCCAAGCUCGCCCUACCUCUUCCUUAUCGUCGCCGACGUCCUGCAACAGAUGAUCCGGGAAGACGGCGAGCUCCGCCACCCGCUGGUGGAGGGUGCCCCCCCUUUGGUGCUCCAGUACGCCGAUGACACGUUGGUCAUCCUCAGGGCGGAGCGUGGCGCGGCGGUCCGCCUUCGCCGCAUCCUCGACGAUUUCGCGGCCGCGACGGGGCUGGACAUAAACUUCUCCAAGAGCACGCUUGUCCCCAUGCCCGUGCCUCCGGAAGCGUUGAAGGAGACCGUUGGCGUGCUCGGCUGCGCCGUCCAGGGAUUCCCGCAGGCCUAUCUCGGGCUUCCGCUGUCGUGGGAAAAGCUCACCUUCGCCGACUUCCUCCCCAUGCUUGCGAGGGUGGACAAGUACCUGGCAGGCUAG